RNAcentral lists this ribosomal RNA (446 nucleotides) under uncultured bacterium. RNAcentral describes it as "bacterial SSU rRNA". It matches the Rfam family "Bacterial small subunit ribosomal RNA", at positions 8 to 454 of the family's 1533-position model. The record is from RNAcentral.
AGAGUUUGAUCAUGGCUCAGAUUGAACGCUGGCGGAAUGCUUUACACAUGCAAGUCGAACGGCAGCACGGGAGCUUGCUCCUGGUGGCGAGUGGCGAACGGGUGAGUAAUAUAUCGGAACGUACCCAGUAAUGGGGGAUAACUAGUCGAAAGAUUAGCUAAUACCGCAUACGCCCUGAGGGGAAAAGCGGGGGACCGUAAGGCCUCGCGUUAUUGGAGCGGCCGAUAUCUGAUUAGCUAGUUGGUGGGGUAAAGGCCUACCAAGGCGACGAUCAGUAGCUGGUCUGAGAGGAUGAUCAGCCACACUGGAACUGAGACACGGUCCAGACUCCUACGGGAGGCAGCAGUGGGGAAUUUUGGACAAUGGGCGCAAGCCUGAUCCAGCCAUUCCGCGUGAGUGAAGAAGGCCUUCGGGUUGUAAAGCUCUUUCGCAAGGGAAGAAAACUU